GGUUAAGCGACUAAGCGUACACGGUGGAUGCCCUGGCAGUCAGAGGCGAUGAAGGACGUGCUAAUCUGCGAUAAGCGUCGGUAAGGUGAUAUGAACCGUUAUAACCGGCGAUUUCCGAAUGGGGAAACCCAGUGUGAUUCGUCACACUAUCAUUAACUGAAUCCAUAGGUUAAUGAGGCGAACCGGGGGAACUGAAACAUCUAAGUACCCCGAGGAAAAGAAAUCAACCGAGAUUCCCCCAGUAGCGGCGAGCGAACGGGGAGCAGCCCAGAGCCUGAAUCAGUGUGUGUGUUAGUGGAAGCGUCUGGAAAGGCGCGCGAUACAGGGUGACAGCCCCGUACACAAAAAUGCACAUACUGUGAGCUCGAUGAGUAGGGCGGGACACGUGGUAUCCUGUCUGAAUAUGGGGGGACCAUCCUCCAAGGCUAAAUACUCCUGACUGACCGAUAGUGAACCAGUACCGUGAGGGAAAGGCGAAAAGAACCCCGGCGAGGGGAGUGAAAAAGAACCUGAAACCGUGUACGUACAAGCAGUGGGAGCACGCUUAGGCGUGUGACUGCGUACCUUUUGUAUAAUGGGUCAGCGACUUAUAUUCUGUAGCAAGGUUAACCGAAUAGGGGAGCCGAAGGGAAACCGAGUCUUAACUGGGCGUUAAGUUGCAGGGUAUAGACCCGAAACCCGGUGAUCUAGCCAUGGGCAGGUUGAAGGUUGGGUAACACUAACUGGAGGACCGAACCGACUAAUGUUGAAAAAUUAGCGGAUGACUUGUGGCUGGGGGUGAAAGGCCAAUCAAACCGGGAGAUAGCUGGUUCUCCCCGAAAGCUAUUUAGGUAGCGCCUCGUGAAUUCAUCUCCGGGGGUAGAGCACUGUUUCGGCAAGGGGGUCAUCCCGACUUACCAACCCGAUGCAAACUGCGAAUACCGGAGAAUGUUAUCACGGGAGACACACGGCGGGUGCUAACGUCCGUCGUGAAGAGGGAAACAACCCAGACCGCCAGCUAAGGUCCCAAAGUCAUGGUUAAGUGGGAAACGAUGUGGGAAGGCCCAGACAGCCAGGAUGUUGGCUUAGAAGCAGCCAUCAUUUAAAGAAAGCGUAAUAGCUCACUGGUCGAGUCGGCCUGCGCGGAAGAUGUAACGGGGCUAAACCAUGCACCGAAGCUGCGGCAGCGACGCUUAUGCGUUGUUGGGUAGGGGAGCGUUCUGUAAGCCUGCGAAGGUGUGCUGUGAGGCAUGCUGGAGGUAUCAGAAGUGCGAAUGCUGACAUAAGUAACGAUAAAGCGGGUGAAAAGCCCGCUCGCCGGAAGACCAAGGGUUCCUGUCCAACGUUAAUCGGGGCAGGGUGAGUCGACCCCUAAGGCGAGGCCGAAAGGCGUAGUCGAUGGGAAACAGGUUAAUAUUCCUGUACUUGGUGUUACUGCGAAGGGGGGACGGAGAAGGCUAUGUUGGCCGGGCGACGGUUGUCCCGGUUUAAGCGUGUAGGCUGGUUUUCCAGGCAAAUCCGGAAAAUCAAGGCUGAGGCGUGAUGACGAGGCACUACGGUGCUGAAGCAACAAAUGCCCUGCUUCCAGGAAAAGCCUCUAAGCAUCAGGUAACAUCAAAUCGUACCCCAAACCGACACAGGUGGUCAGGUAGAGAAUACCAAGGCGCUUGAGAGAACUCGGGUGAAGGAACUAGGCAAAAUGGUGCCGUAACUUCGGGAGAAGGCACGCUGAUAUGUAGGUGAAGUCCCUCGCGGAUGGAGCUGAAAUCAGUCGAAGAUACCAGCUGGCUGCAACUGUUUAUUAAAAACACAGCACUGUGCAAACACGAAAGUGGACGUAUACGGUGUGACGCCUGCCCGGUGCCGGAAGGUUAAUUGAUGGGGUUAGCGCAAGCGAAGCUCUUGAUCGAAGCCCCGGUAAACGGCGGCCGUAACUAUAACGGUCCUAAGGUAGCGAAAUUCCUUGUCGGGUAAGUUCCGACCUGCACGAAUGGCGUAAUGAUGGCCAGGCUGUCUCCACCCGAGACUCAGUGAAAUUGAACUCGCUGUGAAGAUGCAGUGUACCCGCGGCAAGACGGAAAGACCCCGUGAACCUUUACUAUAGCUUGACACUGAACAUUGAGCCUUGAUGUGUAGGAUAGGUGGGAGGCUUUGAAGUGUGGACGCCAGUCUGCAUGGAGCCGACCUUGAAAUACCACCCUUUAAUGUUUGAUGUUCUAACGUUGACCCGUGAUCCGGGUUGCGGACAGUGUCUGGUGGGUAGUUUGACUGGGGCGGUCUCCUCCUAAAGAGUAACGGAGGAGCACGAAGGUUGGCUAAUCCUGGUCGGACAUCAGGAGGUUAGUGCAAUGGCAUAAGCCAGCUUGACUGCGAGCGUGACGGCGCGAGCAGGUGCGAAAGCAGGUCAUAGUGAUCCGGUGGUUCUGAAUGGAAGGGCCAUCGCUCAACGGAUAAAAGGUACUCCGGGGAUAACAGGCUGAUACCGCCCAAGAGUUCAUAUCGACGGCGGUGUUUGGCACCUCGAUGUCGGCUCAUCACAUCCUGGGGCUGAAGUAGGUCCCAAGGGUAUGGCUGUUCGCCAUUUAAAGUGGUACGCGAGCUGGGUUUAGAACGUCGUGAGACAGUUCGGUCCCUAUCUGCCGUGGGCGCUGGAGAACUGAGGGGGGCUGCUCCUAGUACGAGAGGACCGGAGUGGACGCAUCACUGGUGUUCGGGUUGUCAUGCCAAUGGCACUGCCCGGUAGCUAAAUGCGGAAGAGAUAAGUGCUGAAAGCAUCUAAGCACGAAACUUGCCCCGAGAUGAGUUCUCCCUGACUCCUUGAGAGUCCUGAAGGAACGUUGAAGACGACGACGUUGAUAGGCCGGGUGUGUAAGCGCAGCGAUGCGUUGAGCUAACCGGUACUAAUGAACCGUGAGGCUUAACCUU
RNAcentral lists this ribosomal RNA (2904 nucleotides) under Escherichia coli. RNAcentral's name for it is "23S ribosomal RNA". It matches the Rfam family "Bacterial large subunit ribosomal RNA". The record is from RNAcentral. Lineage: Bacteria; Pseudomonadati; Pseudomonadota; Gammaproteobacteria; Enterobacterales; Enterobacteriaceae.